UACCUUUAAUCCAACAUCAUUAAGUAGUAGUUUCUCUAGUGCUUCUCGUGAUUACAACAAAUUUUAUUCAAAGCCCCUAACAUGGUAUUUAAAACCAAUUGAUUUCUAUUUCACUUUUAUGGUUAACAUAAAAUCGCAUGUAAUUACAAUAAAUAUAUUCACAAAUAAGUCCCAUUUAAAUUAUUUCUUAUUCACAAAAAAAAAAAUAAUGCAAUCUUAAAUAUCAGGUAAAACUAAAACUCAAACAAAACAAAUUUAUUCCACAUAUUAAAAAAUCACAAACCUUUUUUUAUUAAAGCAUUUAUCUAUAUUAUAAUUUAAAAUUGUCCAACCUAAGAAAAAUGCACCAAAAAACUUGGCAUAUAGCAAUUUUCGAUUUGGAAUGCCACAAAACAGAGCAAAAUUCUUUUUUAUCGGCUGUAUAAUAACAAUCUUUGUAAAAAAUUGCAUAAUGCAGAUCAUUACCUCUAUAGCCACAGAAAGGUGGUCCCACCUUAUAGUUUGUCACCUUGUAACUUCGUCUACAAUAACUCAAAAAGUAUAUGAACUAAAGGUGUUAACAAAUGAUCUUGUCAGUUUUGUAGAUAAAGUCAUCAAGUAUUCUACUCUCAAGACUUAAAUUUACUCGAAUAAAUUUACUUUUGUACAGUAUUAUUUUUUAAACAAAGUAUGUGAUUGCAAUUUAUUUUCUUUAACAUAAUUUAUAUGUACUAAGUCGACAGAGAAAAUUGAACAAUUUCUACAAUCUGGAUGUACUUCUCGUUCUUCGGUCAUCGUUUUUGUUUGUACAGUAUAUUACUGCAGAUGUUGAAAAAGAACAUAAACCAUCAGAAAAUGUAUUUUCAAUUUUGGCAGGACAAUAAAGAUAAGUUUUCUUAAGUCUCUUCACAUCAAAUUUCAUAUUCUCAUAUCUUAUUGGGUCAUAAAAUUGUAUCUAUGCGAUUAUACUAAAUAUAAAAACAUGCAUAUAUCAAACUGUACAUAUCAGAAAACACUUUGCAGGGCAUAAGAGCUGACCUUGCAACUAAAAAACUAAAAUCGUCACUCUUCCAAAGUAUAUAACACAAAAAGCAACUUGAAAUCUCGUAACCUAAGUAGGUUAUGAGAUUUAGUCGACUAUCAGAAACCAAUCCGUGUUUGCUGGAUAUCAUAAUGAAGUAAAAAAAAAAUCAUAUUUUCAAUUAUCACAAUUAUAAGCAGAUUGGGCAACCAUAGCUUUUGUAACUUCAUCAAAACAGUGAGCAUUAAAAUAUUUAGGCUUACGGAUACAAUUGAACCGACUAUUCUCAACAUUAAACCAAUCAAUUGGUAUAAAAAAUACUCCCCAGAUAAUAGUUCAACAAAAGCCCCAACUUAACAAAAUUGCAUAUUGUUUGUUGGUGAAAAUAUCCAAGAAUCAUCACAGACUCAAAUUUAAUAUCGAUAUUGGCUUAGCUUGGGUGAAAUCUUCAACCCAUAAGAUAAGUUUUUGAUUUCUUACUAACAACCAUUAUAUUAAUAAUAUUCCAAAACUAAAUAGAGAUUAGAGAGGGAAUUACGAUCUGUAUUUUUAGAGAUUAAAGACCUUACCUGUGCAUGAGCAUGUAUUUCUGGUUGACUGAUAUCCGUUCCAAUAUAGGAAAUAGCAUAAUUUUGAGGAUAAUGAUCCGAGUAAAUAGCUAAUGAAAGAAAAACAUAUUCAAUUUUGCGGAUAAUCAUGUGAAAUCAAACACAUGCAGGUUGUAACAAUAACAUAAAUAUACAAAAUAGAAAAAAAUAAAAAAAAAAAAGGUCAAAAUACAACUUACAGAAUAUUGCAUGGACAAACAAUGAACAAAAAUUGAACUUACAGUUUACAUCCAUUAACACAAUUUGUAGUUAUCACAAUUCCAAAACCUACUACUGAAACAAUUUCUUACCAGUGGUAGACUCGUCUCUCUCUAAUUUGCUUUUAAUAUGAAACCAUAGAUUGUCAAAAGAGAUUCCAAAACUAAAAUCAAUAUAAAAAUGAGAACCAGCAAAUCUAGGCAAUCAAAAUCAGAACGCGUAAAUUUAGGAAAUAAAAAUUGACCUUCAAUAUAUCAAAGGGAGAGUUGUAAAUUGGAAAAAAAGUUGAUGCAUUUACCUUAUAAUUGUGUGGUGUUCCAAUCCUCAACAAAACCUAGAUGGUUGGACGAAGAUGUAGGUAUAGAUUUAAAUUUGGAUUAAUGGCUUAACUAAGAGACAAGGUUUGCAGAGAGCGAAAUGAAGAACUGAAAAUAAGGAGCAGUCAUACCAUCCAAAGAAAGCCAGGGAAGAUAAGAGCGUCAGAGUGAAGGUCCGAAAUGGAUUAUCAGUUAUCAAAACCUAAAUUAGAAUAUGGGGAGCAAACAGUUCAUAGAAAACCGGUGGUAUGGAGUUAGGGCAUCAAUAUGAAACAACGAUUAUGCUUCUUAUCUGCAAAGAAACCCAUCAAUUGAUCAAUUAUAGAGGAGCGGUGGCGAAACGGGCAAAUGUUGAUAUAUUGGGUUGUUAGGUAGAGAGAGGUGAUGGAGGUAGUGUAUUGAGAAAGUAAGGAAGCAUUAGAGGAAAGGAAUCAUUGGAGGAGGUGAAUGGAAGCGUGGAGAUGAAGAGAUUACUUUUCAAACGGUGGCACAUUGUCCCAUUUAGUGGAAUUUAGUGGAACCAUG
This 2648-nucleotide long non-coding RNA is filed under the name Lactuca sativa (garden lettuce). Its description in RNAcentral is "long non-coding RNA (LSAT_LNC001582)". Lineage: Eukaryota; Viridiplantae; Streptophyta; Magnoliopsida; Asterales; Asteraceae. The record is from RNAcentral.